This is a non-coding RNA of Chiloscyllium plagiosum (whitespotted bambooshark), 1114 nucleotides long. NCBI's taxonomy places the organism in Eukaryota, Metazoa, Chordata, Chondrichthyes, Orectolobiformes, Hemiscylliidae. The record is from RefSeq and is a predicted model, not a curated record.
UCCAGUCACUUGUCAAUUUCAGUGCUGGCGCUGAUCAGUGAUGGCUGCAAAUCAAUUCACAGCGAUUCGACAUUGAAAAGAAAGAGUUUCACCUGCACAGCGGCCGCAGCCGAAUGAAAUCAGACUAAAUAAACAAGUCUGCUGGAACUAAAGGAGGUUGUGUGCGAAACAAUUAGCACAAACAUCUGCCUGAGUGCCCAUGGUGUUUUUAAUAUAAUUAAAAAGAGUUCUCCUUGAUCCCACUGGAUACACUGUAAUCCAUUGAUAAUCUGGUGCACACUGGCAGUGACGGAUUUGAGAUACAGCCAAAUGGAGACAUGUUGAGCAACAGUUGUGGAAAUCCUGCUCCCGUGGUCAGUGCUAAGAAGUUUGCUAGAUGUUACCAUUCUGGUGUGGUUACUUAGGUGAACAGCAGCAAGGUAAAAGGUCACACUGAGCUUGCAACAGGUGUCAGCCAUGCAGCCUUUCUAAAAGGAGACUGAUAAUUGGAAACAACGUAUGGUUAAAAGCGAACAACUGGUGAGAGAAGGCUUCAAGCUAUAGAUCUUACAUCCACGUUUUUGUUUGUCAUAAUGAAAAUUUCUGUUCUCCUUCUGGUUGGGAUAUAUUCAGAAAGAUGCAUUGUGUCAAUAUAGUCCAGCCUUUUAGAAAUAUGUGUACAUCCACUUUAAUUUUGCAAAGCAAAACCUUUGGGUGCACAGGGCAGCGAUAAUUUGGUCAACGCUACUGCCGCUGAUCAUUUGCCAAGAGCUUGCGUGGACAGGGAAGAUUUACCACAAACAAAUUUGGUUGGUGCUUAUGAAUAAGUAUGCUGUUUUAUAAUGUGCUUGCUUUAAUGAACUGAAUACAUUUAUUUAGACUGAAAUAAAAGUCUCUGUAAAAUAAAAUUAAACUUGAUGCUGCAUUGCCCAGCCCAGUUGGCACAUUUGUUCCUCUGAUAUCGACACUUUAAAGGUGCUGAAAGGCUCUCGACACAAUAGCCUUAAUUGUAAUUCAAGUACUUGUGAUAUUUUGGUAACAAUUACUAUUGAUUUUACAAUUUGUUUACAGAGAUGUUGUUUUAUUACUAAUAUAUUUAAUGUACAAAUCAAUAGGAACACUUGUUUGGCUCACU